This 253-nucleotide ribosomal RNA is filed under the name uncultured Luteimonas sp. Its description in RNAcentral is "partial 16S ribosomal RNA". It matches the Rfam family "Bacterial small subunit ribosomal RNA", at positions 524 to 776 of the family's 1533-position model. Lineage: Bacteria; Pseudomonadati; Pseudomonadota; Gammaproteobacteria; Lysobacterales; Lysobacteraceae. The record is from RNAcentral.
UACGAAGGGUGCAAGCGUUACUCGGAAUUACUGGGCGUAAAGCGUGCGUAGGUGGUUCGUUAAGUCUGAUGUGAAAGCCCUGGGCUCAACCUGGGAAUUGCAUUGGAUACUGGCGAGCUAGAGUGCGGUAGAGGGUAGUGGAAUUCCUGGUGUAGCAGUGAAAUGCGUAGAGAUCAGGAGGAACAUCCGUGGCGAAGGCGACUACCUGGACCAGCACUGACACUGAGGCACGAAAGCGUGGGGAGCAAACAGG